RNAcentral lists this long non-coding RNA (1015 nucleotides) under Lonchura striata (white-rumped munia). Its description in RNAcentral is "domestica (Bengalese finch) lncRNA (ENSLSDG00000010838.1)". Lineage: Eukaryota; Metazoa; Chordata; Aves; Passeriformes; Estrildidae. The record is from RNAcentral.
UGAGGGAGCUCCGGCAUCCCUGCAGCAGAGCAGGGCUGUGUGAGCCUCACGCUUAGCAGGAUCAGUGAAGGAGCUCCGGCAUCCCCGCAGCAGAGCAGGGCUGUGUGAGCCUCACGCUUAGCAGGAUCAGUGAGCGCAGGAGCCGCGCAGAUUAUGGGAUGUGUGUGCUAGGCAAUGCGGAGCGUUCCACCAGCCCCUCUCUGCCGUGCUGUGUGCGGUCUGUAAAAGAGAUGGCAGUUUCUGGGAUUUUAUUAAGAAGCUUUUUGUCUUCUUUCUAUUGUCUCUGUAAGCACCAGUGUGAAGCAUUCCAAUCUGUUUGCCAGCCUGGCAGUUUUAUGUUUCCUGAAUCUGCUGGGAAAAAGUGGGAAACCACAGAAACCCAGGAUUCCUCUGGCAUCACAUUGGUUUGUUCUUGUCAGCAUAUCUAAUCAUUCUUCUGCUAAAGAAUCGUGGAGUGAGGUGAUCUUAGCAAUGAUUUACGCUGCUUGGGGCUUUAUUGAUUUUUUUUUUUCUUUAGUGAGAACGUAAGAAAAGGAAUGAAGGAAGGAUGAUACGGUUUGUAAAGAAAAUAAUUCAGUGUACAUUUCAAGUGUAGUGGCUGUUAAAUAUGUAGACAUAUAUAUGAUACUUUAUGCAGUUAUAAAAACAAAAGGUCUCUUUGCCUCAGGGUAUGAUUUCUCUUACAGCAACAGGUAGCAAAGGCUCCUCUGCCCCCUUUUCUCCCCUUAUCGCCUCCUUUUCAGCUCCUCCUGAUAAAAUGCGGUUUAAAAGGUCAGCUGGUUAUGUAAAUAGUGUGCCUUUUCUAACAAAGACCUCUGCGCAUCAAGCCUGCAAUGACUGUCAAAUAGAUUUGGGAUUCAAGACAUUCAAUAAUGGUACUGUCCGUUUUCUAAGAGUGAUAAAAUCUCGCAGAAAACAAAGGACGGACGUGGGAUGGAUCAACAGCGCCGGGGCGCCCAUGGGCAGCAGCAGCGUCACGGCAGAAUUUGGCUUCUUCUCUCUAGUGAUGUCCUAG